RNAcentral lists this unclassified non-coding RNA (344 nucleotides) under uncultured fungus. RNAcentral's name for it is "partial contains 5.8S ribosomal RNA, internal transcribed spacer 2, and large subunit ribosomal RNA". The record is from RNAcentral. Lineage: Eukaryota; Fungi.
AACGCAUAUUGCACUCUCUGGUAUUCCGGGGAGUACGCCUGUUUGCAGCGUGAAAUUGAGUGGUCGACGAGUUCUAUCGUCGGAUUCAUGAGCGCGCCAAAGGGGGGUGUUGUUUGUUAUACUCUCCUUGGGCUCGCUUGAAAAAUAGAGAAUGACCAAAUGACAGGGGCCCUCUUUUAGGGGGGUAUCACCUUAGGCGUGUUAAAAUGUCUCGUCAGAUGUUACGCUCGGCCUAAGUUUUUUAGCCAAGGUCUUUUGGGCUUUGUCCGUGGAAGAUAUAUUUGUUGAGGAUUUAUCCUCAUUAUUUUUACCUGAAAUCAGGUGGGAUUACCCGCUGAACUUAA